This 493-nucleotide ribosomal RNA is filed under the name uncultured bacterium. Its description in RNAcentral is "partial 16S ribosomal RNA". It matches the Rfam family "Bacterial small subunit ribosomal RNA", at positions 30 to 523 of the family's 1533-position model. The record is from RNAcentral.
AUUGAACGCUGGCGGCAUGCCUUACACAUGCAAGUCGAACGGUAACAGGUUAAGCUGACGAGUGGCGAGCGGGUGAGUAAUAUAUCGGAACGUGCCCAGUCGUGGGGGAUAACGCGGCGAAAGCUGUGCUAAUACCGCAUACGAUCUAUGGAUGAAAGCGGGGGAUCGCAAGACCUCGCGCGAUUGGAGCGGCCGAUAUCAGAUUAGCUAGUUGGUGGGGUAAAGGCCCACCAAGGCGACGAUCUGUAGCUGGUCUGAGAGGACGACCAGCCACACCGGAACUGAGACACGGUCCAGACUCCUACGGGAGGCAGCAGUGGGGAAUUUUGGACAAUGGGCGCAAGCCUGAUCCAGCAAUGCCGCGUGCAGGACGAAGGCCUUCGGGUUGUAAACUGCUUUUGUACGGAACGAAACGGUUCUCUCUAAUACAGGGGGCUAAUGACGGUACCGUAAGAAUAAGCACCGGCUAACUACGUGCCAGCCGCCGCAGUAA